AUGUUGUACUGCUGUUCUAUACAAGUUUCCAAUGUUAGUGUGCUUCUUCAGCUCUAUUCAGUUGUUCUACUUGCUGCUUGUAGCUGUUACCAGUUUACCUGCUGGCCGGGACUGGGUCCAAUCUGUUCUGGAGUGGGACAUGGCUGUGUUUUUCAGUUUGUGCCCCUGUUCUGGGGAAUUCCUCUCAUUUGUCGACUGUUGCCCUCAGUUUUCUUUAUGGAGUACAUCAUACUAAAUUGGAAUGUGCGCGGUCUCCACAACCCUGCUAAGCGAAGAGCUAUCCUCAUGUUCCUCGCUGAGCACCAAUGCAACAUCAUCUGUCUUCAGGAAGUAAAAAUGCAGACCAUCUCAGCAGCUUUCGUUGCCGAAACACUGGGGGCCCAUUUCUGUGACAACUUUAUUUACAAACCAGCUAAUGGCUCUAGAGGGGGAAUCCUGAUUGCCUGCUCCGCUGAUAUUGCAAUCACUCAUGACCCCCUUGCUGAUGGGCCUAACUCCAUUACUGGGCAGAUUAUGGACAGGAGCAACAAUGACAGAUGGACCAUCUCAGCUGUGUACGGACCCCAAGAUGAUGCGGCCAAGGUCCUUUUCAUUGAUGAACUCAAGGGACUCAAGCAGUUUGCUCUACCAUGCUGGAUGGUCCUUGGAGAUUUUAACCUGAUCAAGAAAGCCGAGGACAAAAAUAAUGGGAACAUAAACCUGCAGAUGAUGGGAAGGUUCAAGAGUGUUGUUGAUGAGCUAGAGCUAAUUGAUUACCCUCUCCUGGGCAGAAAAUUCACUUGGUCCAAUGAGCGUGACAUUGUCACCCUGACUAAGAUCGACAGGAUCUUGGUCUCCAAAGAUUGGGACCUUAAAUUCCCAAAUUACCAGCUCACCCCUGCAUCCUCUUCAAUCUCUGAUCAUUGCCCCCUGCUACUAAAGCCAAUGCAUCAGCGCCACUUCAAAGGGUUCCGAUUUGAAUCCUAUUAG
This 969-nucleotide ribosomal RNA is filed under the name Triticum aestivum (bread wheat). Its description in RNAcentral is "partial small subunit ribosomal RNA". The record is from RNAcentral. Lineage: Eukaryota; Viridiplantae; Streptophyta; Magnoliopsida; Poales; Poaceae.